Long non-coding RNA from Diprion similis, 346 nucleotides. RefSeq lists it as uncharacterized. The transcript is spliced from 2 exons. NCBI's taxonomy places the organism in Eukaryota, Metazoa, Arthropoda, Insecta, Hymenoptera, Diprionidae. The record is from RefSeq and is a predicted model, not a curated record.
ACGUGUGCUACAAGGCAGUACAUUUUGUUAUUGUUCGACUGAUAACAGCUCGGCCUGCAGAUAACUCUGCAAUGAAGCAAUCGAAUGACAUCGAUGCGUUAAAGUCAUGUAUCGAGCACCUAAGAGAUGAAAACUGCGCAAAACUGCCAAUGAGGAGCCAAUGCUGUGGCCGCCUUCCAAACCAACGAGACUGGCGAUCAUGCCAUCUCUGUGAGCUCCCUCAAGCUCUGUACUCGAAGUUACUAGACGCAUACCAGUUGGAUGUUUCGAUGUUAAUCUUCUGACAAGAUCGAUUUGUUCCAAUGUCAGUUGAACGGCAUCGAGAAACUGAGCCUCACAAGGAACG